This 2806-nucleotide long non-coding RNA is filed under the name Phoenix dactylifera (date palm). Its description in RNAcentral is "long non-coding RNA (PDAC_LNC004517)". The record is from RNAcentral. Lineage: Eukaryota; Viridiplantae; Streptophyta; Magnoliopsida; Arecales; Arecaceae.
UGAUGUUCCUGGGGUCUUUGGAAGAUUAGGGUUUGGAUUUUAGUGCUUUAUGGUAUUGUUUUUGGUUCUACGGGAGUUUGUAUGCUGUAACCUGUAGUCCAUUUAUAGCUUUUGGUCGACCCUUUUUUACCCAUGGAUUCGGUGAUUUCUGGACCCAGUUUGUAGGUCUUAGUUUUUCUGGUUUUAUUUGCUGAUUUUAUAGCUUAACAGUUUCUUUGUUGGUUGAUUGAUGCUUUUCCGAAGGGCUUAUUUUAUUGUGGAUUUAGUUUUCUUAGGAAACGAAUGAAUUUUAGCUUUAUGGCUGAAUCAUUUAUUAGUUGUUUCUCCUUUUCUUUUCUCAAUUUAAUUGAUUGGCUUCUUUAACUAUGAAAAAUAUCGUCUCUUUUUUUUAUUGCUCGAAAUUUUUAGUUGUUAUUUUCAUCUUUUUGUCAUCUUUUUUAGAUUACUUCUUGGAGAAUUCGAGCAACUUAAAGAGCAUAACAAUGUCUGUUUCCAUCAUUGCAGCUAUGGCAGCAAAUACUGCUGCCAAUAAUAAUGCAUCUUUGACUGUGGACUCCAACUCAAGGCCAAAUGCCAGGAGAAGAACAGUGGUAGUUGUGGAGAAGAAAUCAAGUGCUGAUAUGCUUACUGAAGGAGGAGUUAAUGGGGUUAGCAAGGAUAAGAUGAUUGUUAAUGGGAAGGAUCUAAGCCAUACAAUCAGGGGAGAAUCUCUGCUUGACAGAUCAAAAGACUUGUCGCAGUUGAAGAAAGAAUUGAUUGCUUCCUCCACCAUUUCACCACGGCGUAAGAAAGCUAUUCUGAAGCCACAGAAGCUGAAGUGGCAAACUGUUCUUAGCAUUCUCACCAAGAAUUUCAUGCUUCUAGCAGUUCUUUUAUGGCUGGGGCAGACAGUUUGGAGAUGGACUGAUAGUAUUCGAGACAAUACUAACUCACCAUUUUCUGCUUUGGAUUAUGAUGGUCGGAUCUCUGAAGUUCAGGCAUCUUUAAAGAAAACAGCAAAGAUGUUGCAGGUUCAGGUAGAAGCUGUAGAUCAAAAAAUCAGAAAUGAGAUUGGGAUUGUGACUAGUGAACUUAGAAAGCAAAUUGAAGAACAAGGGGCACUGUUGGAGGAGGAAUUGAAGAAGUUGGAAGUUAGGAGUGAUAGUUUAGACAAGUCUCUGACUGAAUUUAAGGACACGGGUCUCCUUUCAAAGGAAGAAUUUAGAAGAUUUUGGAAUGAGCUGAAGAGCACUAAAAGGCUAGAUGGUAGUGAUCAUGAUGUUAAUUUGGACCAAGUUAGGGCUUUUGCUAGAGAUCUUGUUAAGAAAGAGAUUGAAAAGCAUGCAGCUGAUGGUCUUGGAAGAGUUGAUUAUGCUUUAGCUUCUGGUGGGGCCAGGGUGGUCAAGCAUUCAGAGCCUUAUGGUUUUAGGAAAGUGAACAGUUGGUUUUCUGUUCGAAAUGGAGUCCCUGCUAAUGCUCAUAAAAUGUUGGAGCCGAGUUUUGGGGAGCCUGGCCAAUGUUUUCCCUUGCAAGGAAGCAGUGGGUUUGUUGAGAUUAGGCUUAGAACAGGGAUCAUACCUGAGGCUGUCACGCUGGAGCAUGUCUCUAAGGCAAGUUUUUGCUCCAGUUGUUUUUCUGCUUUUCCUUUACAGCUGUGUAGUUAUUUUGAGGUAUUUUGGUACUUAAGCAUUACUGGUUUCUUUCAUGUUAGUUCAUAUAACACCCAUUUUAACUCUUUCUUAUAUGUUAAUCAUAUAACUAUUCAUAUGGUCUGUUUCUUGAAGUAUUUGGGACUUGCAUUUUUAGUUGCUUUCUUUUAACUAUAUCUUGUAUACAGUUUCCAUUUUAACUAUUUCUUGUAUGUUAGUCAUAUAACUAUUUCUUUUCUAAGCAUGUCUUGCAUGUGACUUUAUUGAUGUAAAGAGGUGAAUUUUUGAGGUAGGAAAUUUGGAAUUUGAAAACAAUAAUGUGACUUUAUUAGGAGAUAUUAGGAGAUGUAAAGAGGUGAAUUUUUGAGGUAGGAAAUUUGGAAUUUGAAAACAAUAAUAUUAUGGCAUGGGUAAAGUUGGAAAUAUUGUAUCAAAUGGUCACUUGUGUUUUGGUCAUGGUUUGAAGUUUUGGUCAAAGCUUCUAAAUUGCUAUAAAAAAUAUUGGUUUUGGAUGUGCAACACUAUUGUUGGUUUUAGAGUUCCAGUUGAAACUAACUCUUUUUUUUCCCCUAAGAGUGGGGUGCAAAUCUGUUGUUGAUGGGAGAUUUGUAGGGAAGUUUUGCCAUUUCUUCAAAUUUGGGAGGGUAUUAUUUUCCAAAAGUAAAUGAACUCUGCCAGUUUUUAAAAUAAUUGGAAGGCGUAUGUUGGAAAGGUACAAAUUUAUCGAUAAAGUUUGUUUUUCUUGAUCUUAAAUCUUGGAAUUUAGAUUGUCAAAUGGUAGAUGGUCAUCCAGUACUCAAUGAUAUAGCAGAACCCCAAUGUGUAACAUACUUUUUAUCUUCAAUGUUUAAGAACCAGCUACAGCCCUUUUUUUUUUUGGUGUCUUUUUGUUCCAUAAUAAAUUGCGUUCUCAAUAUGGAGAUGUUCUUGCUCAAUCUUAAGGGACUUAUGUGAGUAAAAAUCUUAAUUGGUUAGUAUUAGUUUAGAACUUGUGUUGGUUAAGAUUUAUGUUUUUAUGAGCUUUUUAGUUAUUGUUCUAUUAUUUUCUCUAAAUUUAAAUUGCUUUCGGUAUUGUAACUGCAUUUUUUUGGGUAUCAUAAUUGUUGGGUCAAGUACUGGUGGCAUAAAUUCUCCUCCAAGACCUCCCCCCCCCCCCCCCCAAACAACAAAAAAAAAAG